Molecule: long non-coding RNA, 578 nt
Filed under: Aedes aegypti (yellow fever mosquito)
Lineage: Eukaryota; Metazoa; Arthropoda; Insecta; Diptera; Culicidae
Description: lncRNA AAEL023259
Source: RNAcentral
UAUGAAUUUUGUGAAUGAACACUUUUAUAGUUUUUCAACAAAUUGUGUGAAAACAUAUUUCGAAAAAAAAUCGAAAACCUACAUUGCUGAUGUGAUGUUUUACUAGAGUGUUUGUUUUCUCUCUAUCUAAAUAUGGAAAAAAGUGAAUCCAUUUGGCGGAUUUGUUUUUGGGAAAAAUAGUUUAUAAAAUCAGCACGAAUCAGUGUGAAAUGUCCAGCAACAGUAGCGCCGAUGCGGGAGUGGAAUCAUCGACGGAAUCGACAAAAUCUGCUGUCGAACUGGCCGAGCCCUUUCAGCAAAAUGGCUGGGAUCGGAGACGCUGGGACUAGAUAAAAUGACCGAAACCAGACCGGUGCUUCACCAGAAACAAGACAAACAAUGUUUUCCCGGGACGGUGCACUACGCUGUUCCGUCACGAUUCCCGUUAAGCGGAAGCUAAAAUGUUGGCAAAUUGGAACCCAUCGGAAAAUAUUCUUCAACGCCUGAAAAUUUACGUGUGAGAAAAAUUUACAAGUGGUGAAUCAACAACUGAACCUUUUCCUAAUGUGAAAUAAUAAAAUAAGUUUAUUAAAAGUACA